GACAGAGGGUGCAAACGUUGUUCGGAAUUACUGGGCGUAAAGCGUGUGUAGGCGGUCCGCUAAGUCGGGUGUGAAAGCCCUGGGCUCAACCCAGGAAGUGCACUCGAAACUGGCGGGCUAGAGUACUGGAGAGGUUGGUGGAAUUCUCGGUGUAGAGGUGAAAUUCGUAGAUAUCGAGAGGAACACCGGUGGCGAAGGCGGCAUCCUGGACCGGUAUUGACGCUGAGGCGCGAAAGCCAGGGGAGCAAACGGG
RNAcentral lists this ribosomal RNA (253 nucleotides) under uncultured bacterium. Its description in RNAcentral is "partial 16S ribosomal RNA". It matches the Rfam family "Bacterial small subunit ribosomal RNA", at positions 524 to 776 of the family's 1533-position model. The record is from RNAcentral.